GGGGUCUCCGGAGCUUCCUUAAAUACUUUAAGUCAUUACAAAAAAGUAUUAAAGUAGUAAAGUAUUUAAGGAAGCUCCGGAGACCCC
RNAcentral lists this microRNA precursor (87 nucleotides) under Pelobates cultripes (western spadefoot toad). The record is from RNAcentral. Lineage: Eukaryota; Metazoa; Chordata; Amphibia; Anura; Pelobatidae.